Molecule: long non-coding RNA, 1251 nt
Filed under: Monodelphis domestica (gray short-tailed opossum)
Lineage: Eukaryota; Metazoa; Chordata; Mammalia; Didelphimorphia; Didelphidae
Description: lncRNA (ENSMODG00000050703.1)
Source: RNAcentral
CAAUUGUCCCUUCCCCCUGGCAGAGCUGUUUGACUAUGGAGUAAGGUCUGAAGGUUAAAUGUAACAAUUCUGGACUUCCUGGCUAAGAUGGCUGCAGCAUAGCAGGAAUGGCCUGAUUCUCCUCACAACCAAUUACUACAAAGUGUCUCAAAAGGACAAAAAUUAGAAUCAGAUGAGUGAAGGGGCUCUCCCACUGGAUGCAGCUUCGAAGAAAUGCUUUAUUGUGAGUUCAGCCUACCGGGCAUCCUUUCAUCCAUUAUCUAAAAAUGCCUACAUGAAAAGACAGCUGGCCUUUAGAGUAAGGCAGAAAGUAAGAGAAGGAUCUAUGGAAGAAGAGGGACUCGAACUGGGUCUUAAGGAAGAGGAUUUCAAUAACCAGAGAUGGAGAAGGAAUGAAUUUCAAGCAGGGAGGAAAUCUCCUUGCAUGAAUGUACAGAGGUUAGAAGAGGGCAGCAUUGAAAACAGGUAAAAACUAAUUGUCUACUUAGAGUAAGUAAAAGGCUGGCAUAAGUCAAAUUAAAAAAGGCCUUAAGUGCCAGGAUACUCUGAGGAUCCAACUUAGUAGACAGAGUACUAGGUCUGGAGACAAGAAGACCUGAGUUCUAAUGUGACCUCAGGCACACCCAGUGUGACCCUGGGUAAGUCACUUCACCUAAUCUUAGUUUUUUAAAUUGAUAAAAAGGGGAUAAUAGCACCCAUUUCAAAGGGGUAUUGUGAGGCUCAUAUAAGAUAAUAUUUGUAAAGCAUCUAGCGUGGUGCCUAGCACAUACAUAAUAAGUGCUCUAUAAAUGUUAGCUAUUAUUAUUAUGUGUGAUUUCAUUGAUGUAGGCAUUCUCUCUACUGCCAUGAGUUGUGAACCCAUUAUACCUUAAUAAGUGUCCUUAAAAAGGUUCUAUGUGCCAAAAAUGUACCAACCUGUCCACCUAAAGAUGACCCUUUCCCAGUUUAACGGGCAUGAUCUUUGGAUACCAGAAAUAUAGGCCAUUAUUGAACCCACUGUUGAAGUAUAAUUUUGUAGAGCUUACUAAAAAAGCUUGGAAUCCGCCAGCCUGACCUUUGAAAAUAUAGGAUAAUCUCCAUGUCAUGAGGAGUUGUCAGAACAACUUAAGUGGAAGAAAUCCUAGGAUAAAUUCUGAGGAACUGAUGAUGAUUCUUGAGCCUGGGAGUACCUACAUAUUAGAAAAGUGAUUUUUGUUCUUACAUGACAGAUAUAUUACAAAAAGCAAGAGACUGAAGACAGGGAGACUUUAG